Non-coding RNA from Tetranychus urticae (two-spotted spider mite), 1444 nucleotides. The record is from RefSeq and is a predicted model, not a curated record. Lineage: Eukaryota; Metazoa; Arthropoda; Arachnida; Trombidiformes; Tetranychidae.
UUUUUUUAUUGUACUGAUUGGUGAAAAUCAAAUUUUAAUCAUUUUUUUAUUCAUUUGUGACUCAGUUUGAACAUCUUUUUUCUUCGAGUGUGAAUUUAAACUGGAAAAUCCUGAUUUCUUUAUCCAUCGCCUGAGUUUAACUUUUCUUUUUCAUCAUCAGUAUCAGGUUGUAACCCUUAAGCAGUUUAGUGCAUGAAUGUUUGGAAAUUGAAAGUAAGACUUACCUUACUUCCAUCGCCUUAAGGUUUGAUUGUUAAUCAAUUUACAGAUUUCAUUAACUGAUUGUUACUCUAAUUUAUCGAGUCUUACCGUCCAAUGGGCUUUGUCUGAUCUAAAUGACUGUAAAUCUCUAGUCUUUACCAGCUCAUUGACUGCCAGCUUGACGACGAUGACAUAAUGUAAAAGGCGUCACAUUGUGAAAUAUUAAUCUAAAGAUUAUAACGAUUAAGAGGAUUGAUGUUCAAGAUGAGUCCACUUUCACUUUAUACACAAACCAUGGAUUCAAAGGCACAGCUAAAGGUGUUCACUGGACUCUCAACUCGAUUCAAGAUUACCCAAAUCAGCCAUCUUUAGUACCAGAUUUGGAUGGCUUAUAAACCUUACAUGUGAACACAGAUUUGACUGUCGAUUAAUCUUGAUUCAAUUUGUUCUCAUUAACAAAACAUGAUCCAAUUUAACCUUAUUAAGAUGAUUAACCAACUCUUCAUAAUUAACUUCAUCUCGGAAAGUUGAAUGGCUCAUUUCAUCAAGACAAAAUGCUUAUCCAGCCACUUUUUUCAACGUUGCCCAUUUGACCAGAUUAGAUGAACCCUAAAUUAGCUGUUAACUAAUACUUAAAGCUGCGUCCAAGCCACAACAAUACAAAAACGCUGUUAUUACAAUUGAUGAUCAAUUGUUGCAUUGAACUUGUCUCCCAGCAAUUUGUUAUUCAUGAAAUUCAAGUAACCAAACAAGUUUACUUGAUUAGCAUUAACAAAUGAAUCAGGAAGUGACAUCAAUGAUACUCAAUUGAAACAAUUUGGUAAAACAACAGUUAGUUAAUCAUGUUAAUAGUUUAAAGGUUAAAAAAUUAACAAAAUAGAGGUUAAAUAUCGCCUCAGCCUAGAUGGUAAUGAAUUAAUAUCAAAACAACAACAACAACAACAUUUGAUAGUCUCAAAUGAAUUUUUGAUUUACCUUUCACACAAUCCAAGCAAUCACUUUCAAUUAACUUGAAAUUGACAUUGAAUGCUCGGCUGAUCACUUUCCAUUAACCCAAUCAAUUAAUCACUGGUGAUGCCUUUAAUAAUAUAAUAGAUAAAAGGUUUAAAAUUAUCAAUCGGAAGGAAGAGAGAAAAGCUAUAAAAGCUAAUUUUAACUAAAAGUAAAAGAUUCUCAUUUUUAGGUGUAAAAAUUGAAUUGUACUUGUGACAAUUGGCCUUAUUAAAUUGUUAUAUCUUAUUAA